CAAGUCGAACGGCAGCACGGGAGCAAUCCUGGUGGCGAGUGGCGAACGGGUGAGUAAUAUAUCGGAACGUGCCCAGUCGUGGGGGAUAACUACUCGAAAGAGUGGCUAAUACCGCAUACGAUCUACGGAUGAAAGCGGGGGACCUUAGGGCCUCGCGCGAUUGGAGCGGCCGAUAUCAGAUUAGGUAGUUGGUAGGGUAAAAGCCUACCAAGCCUGCGAUCUGUAGCUGGUCUGAGAGGACGACCAGCCACACUGGAACUGAGACACGGUCCAGACUCCUACGGGAGGCAGCAGUGGGGAAUUUUGGACAAUGGGCGAAAGCCUGAUCCAGCAAUGCCGCGUGCAGGACGGAGGCCUUCGGGUUGUAAACUGCUUUUGUACGGAACGAAAAGGUAGCUCCUAAUACGAGCUGCUGAUGACGGUACCGUAAGAAUAAGCACCGGCUAACUACGUGCCAGCAGCCGCGGUAAUACGUAGGGUGCGAGCGUUAAUCGGAAUUACUGGGCGUAAAGCGUGCGCAGGCGGUUUUGUAAGAUAGAUGUGAAAUCCCCGGGCUCAACCUGGGAACUGCAUAUAUGACUGCAAAGCUAGAGUACGGUAGAGGGGGAUGGAAUUCCGCGUGUAGCAGUGAAAUGCGUAGAUAUGCGGAGGAACACCGAUGGCGAAGGCAAUCCCCUGGACCUGUACUGACGCUCAUGCACGAAAGCGUGGGGAGCAAACAGGAUUAGAUACCCUGGUAGUCCACGCCCUAAACGAUGUCAACUGGUUGUUGGGUCUUUACUGACUCAGUAACGUAGCUAACGCGUGAAGUUGACCGCCUGGGGAGUACGGCCGCAAGGUUGAAACUCAAAGAAAUUGACGG
This 862-nucleotide ribosomal RNA is filed under the name uncultured bacterium. RNAcentral describes it as "bacterial SSU rRNA". It matches the Rfam family "Bacterial small subunit ribosomal RNA", at positions 58 to 916 of the family's 1533-position model. The record is from RNAcentral.